This 300-nucleotide long non-coding RNA is filed under the name Homo sapiens (human). RNAcentral's name for it is "HSALNT0404972". Lineage: Eukaryota; Metazoa; Chordata; Mammalia; Primates; Hominidae. The record is from RNAcentral.
ACUUCCUUUCCGUAUCAACAGGAGGCCAGGGACUGGCUGGACCCCUAGGAGCCAGGUCCUACGGAUAGGUGAGCCGGCCCCCCAGGGCAAACACCUCCACUGGGCAGACCUGACUGCCCAGAGCUGGAUUCUUUACUUGUAAAAGGGGCCAUGAGUGACACAGGCUCGGCCUGCUGUGCCUUGAGGAAAGGAGAGGCUAAAAAUUCUGCCUUCUCUCCUAAAGCCAGCCGGGCUCUUUAUGGUGGGGGAAGGAAGGAUUUGUUUAUUUGCACUCUUCUGAAAUAAAAGUUCUCUAUCCUC